Lynx canadensis (Canada lynx) is the source of this 3923-nucleotide long non-coding RNA. RefSeq lists it as uncharacterized. NCBI's taxonomy places the organism in Eukaryota, Metazoa, Chordata, Mammalia, Carnivora, Felidae. The transcript has 2 exons. The record is from RefSeq and is a predicted model, not a curated record.
GGGAGGGGCUCUGCCGGCUGGAGGGGAGGGGAGCCUGCGGGGAGGGGGCGGCCGGAGCGGUGCAGAGGCCGGAUUGGGGCCUCGCCGGCGCGCCCUUCCGCUCCGAAAGUCGCGUCCAGGCGGGCCACCGCCCCCUCCUCCAGGCAGGCCGCCCCCCCUACCCUCCAGGAAGACCUUUCCCCCCACUUCUCCAGGCCAUCUCCCCCACCCCUCCCGUUGGCCCCUCCGCCCUGCUCCAGGCCGUCUUUCCCCCUCCUCCAGGCAGGCACCCCCUCCUCUUCCAGGCGAGCUGCUCUCCCCCUGCUCUAGGCAGGCCAUCCUCUCCUCCUCCAGGCAGGCUGCCCCCCUACCUUCCAGACAGACCACACCCCGUCCUCCAGGCGGGCCGCUGCCCCGCUGCUCCAGGCAGGCCACCCCCUCCUCCUCCAGGCGGGCCGCCGUCUGCCCCCCCACCCCCCCCCCCCCGCUCCAGGCAGGCCACCCCCUCCAGUGGGGCUCCCGAGUGUAUCGGUUGUGUCGCACGGAAGACGCGUGAACCCGAGACCUUCCUGUUUCCCCCGUGUCGAGGCCCGGAGUUACUUGGAAUUACUGAUCAUCUGUCUUCUGAGCUCCCAGCCUGUGGGGCUGUGACGUCACGGACGUGGGGGGAGGGGGAGGGCCUGGGCCCGGGUCCCCUCGACCCUCCCCACACGGUCCCCGUCGGGGAAGAGAACUGCCCGCCUCCAGCACACCCUGCAGGAACGCGGACGCGGGUGUGGCCACAGGCUGGCCGACCCCGGACCAAAGCCGUCUGCACCCGGAGGGGCCAGUGCCGACCUCCCCCCUCUCCCCUCAUUGUAACAGUAAAUGUCACACCCGGGGUGGAGAUCACAGCCAGGGCCCCCGCCUCCGCGCGCGCGCUCGCUCUUCACCCCUCUCCCGCCCACCUGUCCUGGGGUGAGCCCACCGUCCGUCCCGCCGCCUCCGGGAUGGGGGGCAGCAGCCCCAACUCAGCCGAGCCCGACGCUCCUGGUGGGCCGCGCGGGUCAGCUCCUGCUGCGGGGCGAGCCUAGGGCCCUGCUGGGCAGCAGGAGCGCGUCAGAACCUGAGGGUGUACCUGUGCUGUUGUUGCGUAGACGGGGAGCUCAGCCCCUACACGGAGGUAGGCGUGCAGAGGGUCAGUCCCAAAGCGCAGGUGAGCAAAUCCCUGGGGGGUCACAGAGGGAGGGCAGCUAGUUCACCGGGGGCAGGAACAGCAAGAAUCUCAGUGUGGGGAGUUCCAGCGUGUGGUCCCUCGUCUCUGACAAGCUUUCUUUGCUUAGGACAGCUCCUCUGGAAAUGUUUUUGGUAGCAUGCAAGUAAUUUUAGCAUUUAUUUUCUAACUAUUUCCGCGGUGUUUCCUGAGUUAGCAUGUAUCUGGCUGGCAUCGAGCCCGUCCCGUUCGGAGCGCUUCCUGCUUCCUCGCAGCUGGAAAGAACCUCGAGGGAAAUCUCUCAAGGAGAGUGUAACGGGCCCUGCGUGGGGGUGUCUCAGUGCAGCAGAGCAUGAAAUGAAGCCAAGCGCGGCUGGCGCUUUGACCCCAAGUUCCAGAGGAGCCCGUGGGGCUUGUGACCCUGAAGGUGAAGGGUGAACAUGUGUGGAAACAGAAUCCAGCAUCGGAAGGAAGGAACCUCAUUCAGGCAGUUUUGCUACCAAGAGGCGCCUGGGCCCCGGGAGGCGCUGCGCCGGCUCCGCGAGCUGAGCCGCCAGUGGCUGAGCCCAGAAACACACACACGAAGGAGCAGAUCCUGGGGCUGCUGGUGCUGGAGCAGUUCCUGACCGUCCUGCCCGCCGAGCUCCAGGCCUGGGUGCGGGGACAGCACCCGGAGAGCGGAGAGGAGGCGGUGACUGUACUGUAAGGUCUGGAGCGGGAGCUGGACUGCAUGAGGCCGGCCAACAGUUGUACAGAGGAAGAAUUUUUCCACCCACAAGGCUACCUCUGGUCCCUUUGGAAAACACUGAAGUAAAGAACGGGGCGUAUUUCCAACGCAGGGAGACAAAGGUUUGUUCCUUAAACGAAGGUCAAGUUACAAGCAAGCUUAACUGUGCUCUCUUCUUUACCAAAAGUGACGCGGUGCUUUUAAUGCCACAUAGUGGGACGAAUCCAUUAGAGACGGACACGACACGCACCACGAGGCUGACGUGGCUCCGAUGCCGUGGCGGCCGUGGAAGUAAACCCGAGUGUAAGCCCGUCGGUGCCUCCUCACUUUGCUGCCGCUCUGGUCCGCGGCCCUCCUCAGCUGCUGGGGGCCUUCCUGGCCGCUUCCGGCCCCGUGCCGCCUGAGUCAAUCCAGUUGUGCUUCAAUAAAGUCUUAAGAUGUUUGAUAUGCCUCCGUUUGUCUGUUGUCCGGCGCGAGGAGAAGAUCACAUGUGUUCUGCACCUGAAAUGCAGACCCGCUGUGUCUGCAGAGAGAUCACGGCUUGUAGUAAGUGCGGAAAGUCACAGCCUCGGUGCGGGUUGUUGUCCAUCGUGGGAGCGUUGUCAGUCAGCCGUCACUGACGCUGGUUUUCUCUUCGAUGAAACUCGAGCUGAAAUGAAUUUCCUGAGGCAGCUUUUCACUUGUCCUCCAGGCAAAGCCGCCUCCUUGUUUCACCCCCGCGUUUUCAGACGGCACAACUCCUGGUGUUAGACUUCGGCCGCACGCGCCCCCCGCAGCGGUGAAACUAAAGAUGCUGGAUACGCUCCGAACUCCUACACCACACGCAGCUUUGCUCAGAGCCCAUCGUCCUGUCACCCCUGUGAGCCUUUCCUGGGGUCCCCUGCGGCCAGGCCCCGUGCUCCGCUGGCCUGGGGACACAGAAGCAUGUGGACACGGACAAAUGGGGGAGGGUGAGUCUCUUCGCUCUGCCUGCUGGCGUGUGGGGACCGUGGGCAAGUCCUCCGGGAGACCGCUGCAGAAAUAGCCCUCCUGCACUCCCCACCUGUUGUGCGUGUCUGUGCACGAGGGUGCAAGAUGCCGCUGUCAGGCUCUCACACACACCCUGACCAGCAAGCCCCUUCUGCACCCUCCGGUGUCCCCCAUAGCACCCUGUGGAUGUUACCGUCAUAAGUUCCCUGGGCUCUGUUCCCCUGUAGGUUAACGUCUUUGAAGAAGGAAUCAUGUCUUUCGUUCAUCUGCAAAUUCUCAGCGCUGAGCGUAUGACCCAGAAAAUGGUACCGAUACAAGUUCACGUUUCCUGCCCUGCGUCUAACUGGUCCUGAGGUUUACUCUCUCCUGGUGCUUGGAUCUGUCUCCUCCCCGCACCGCCCCCCCACCCCCGGCAGGGGGGGUCACAAGACCCCUGUUUAGCUCCAAUUUCAAUGUCGAUUCCUCUCAGCUCCCGUACCUCAUUGUCCCCAGCUCGUUGGCACACUGAGCUGUCGUCCCCUUAGACACCUGUUCUAAAUCUUUGGAAAUUUAUUCUAACCUGCUUGUUUGAAAUACGACCCUUCCAGCUUAACUAUAAUUUCAUUCCGUACAAACUUAUUACAAAUAAAACUUCCCCUCCCACAGCAAAGCUCAGUCUAGUUCACUCAGGGUAGACUCAGUGUUGUCUAAGUAGCAAAAUGCAGUUACGUGUAAUAUUUUAUUUACAGUACUCUGUGUGGACAUUGGAAAGACAAAUAUUGGACAGUACUUGAAGUCAUCUUAUAUGAUGAAAAUCUCCAAAAGGGCAGAAGGCUGGGCCCUUAGUUUUUACCCCAAGGGACCUUUGUUUUGAAUGCUUUUUGUUCUGUGUAAUCUGAGCCUUCAAAUUAUUUUGAAUAGGAUUUGAUAUGUUUUAGUUAAAUAUAAAGCUGUUGGUCGGAAGUACACCUUUUUUUAUUAUAAUCAUUAACAUCUAAAGUAUCAAAGCAAAAGAAAAAGCAUUUUAAGUAUCAGAACUGAAAAGCACGUGACCAAGAAUAAAAACCCUUAAACUAA